Molecule: ribosomal RNA, 492 nt
Filed under: uncultured bacterium
Lineage: Bacteria
Description: bacterial SSU rRNA
Rfam family: Bacterial small subunit ribosomal RNA
Source: RNAcentral
GAUGAACGCUAGCUACAGGCUUAACACAUGCAAGUCGAGGGGCAGCGUGGAGCAGCAAUGCUCUGACGGCGACCGGCGGAAGGGUGCGUAACACGUGAGCGACUUGCCCGUCACAGGGGGAUAACCGGCGGAAACGGCGACUAAUACCCCAUACGAUGCGAUGCUGCAUGGCAUUGCAUUGAAAGAUUCAUCGGUGGCGGAUAGGCUCGCGGGACAUUAGCUAGACGGCGGGGCAACGGCCCACCGUGGCGACGAUGUCUAGGGGUUCUGAGAGGAAGGUCCCCCACAUUGGAACUGAGACACGGUCCAAACUCCUACGGGAGGCAGCAGUGAGGAAUAUUGGUCAAAUGGGCGAGAGCCUGAACCAGCCAAGUAGCGUGAAGGAUGAAGGUUCUAUGGAUCGUAAACCUCUUUUAUAAGGGAAUAAAGUGCGGACGUGUCCCGUUUUGUAUGUACCUUAUGAAUAAGGAUCGGCUAACUCCGUGCCAGCAG